UCGCGGCUUAUCACCGGCAGUCCCCUUAGAGUGCCCAACUAAAUGAUGGCAACACGCCACGGGGGUUGCGCUCGUUGCGGGACUUAACCCAACAUCACACGACACGAGCUGACGACAGCCAUGCAGCAUCUGUGGCGCACCCUCGAAGGUCACACGUUUCCGUGCGCUUGCAGCGCCAUGUCAAGCCCAGGUAAGGUUCUUCGCGUUGCAUCGAAUUAAAGAACAUGCUCCACCGCUUGUGCGGACCCCCGUCAAUUCCUUUGAGUUUCAACCUUGCGGUCGUACUCCCCAGGUGGAUUACAGCGUGGACUAC
This 313-nucleotide unclassified non-coding RNA is filed under the name uncultured bacterium. RNAcentral's name for it is "contains 16S-23S intergenic spacer region". The record is from RNAcentral.